CACUCCAGCCUGGGUGACAGAGUGAGACUCUGUCUCAAAAAAAAAAAAAAAAAAGUGAGCACUGGCCCGGCUCAGUGGCUCACGCCUGUAAUCCCAGCACUUUGGGAGGCCGAGGUGGGUGGAUCACUUGAGGUCAGGAGUUUGAGAUCAGCCUGGCCAACAUGGUAAAAACCUGUCUCUACUAAAAAAUACAAAAAUUAGUCAGGCGUGGUGGUGGACGCCUGUAAUCCCAGCUACUGGGGAGGCUGGGGUGGGAGAAUCACUUGAACCCAGGAGGUGGAGGUUGCAGGGAGCUGGGAUCAUGCCAUUGCACUCCAGCCUAGGUGACAAGAAUGAAACUCCAUCUCAAAAAAAAAAAAAAAAAAAAAAAGCGAGCACUUAUUAAGCACCUACUGUACGCCAGGCACCUGGUUAAUCCUCUCAUCCACUCAACUCAUGUCCACACUCACACACCCCUACGAGGACACACCCUUGCAGACCACCUCCCCUGGAUCCCUAACACCGCAAGUGGAGUGGCACACAGAGACAUGUGGACACGUGUUAACACAUCUGCACAAACUUGUCGUAUAUCCCUGCACCAGGGCCAGGACUAGGGUACAGACAGGGAGGCACGAAGCCAUCAGGAUAUUUUUUUGAGGCCAGGCACCGUGGCUCACACCUGUCAUCCCAGCAUUUUGGGAAGCCUAGGUGGGUGCGUUGCUUGAGCCCAGGAGUUCAUGACCAGCCUUGGCAAUACAGCAAAACCUCAUCUCUGCAGAAAAUACAAAAAUUAGCUGGGCAUAAUUCUGCAUGCCUGUAGUCCCAGCUACUUGGGAGGCUGAGGUGGGAGGAUCGCUUGAGCCUGGGAAGGCAAGGCUGCAGUGACCCGAGAUCGUGCCACUGCACUCCAGCCUGAGUGACAGAGCAAGACUGUCUCAAAAGAAAAAAAAAAGGACUUAUGAAAAUUUAGAGGGUUGUUUACCCUCUACCCAAUCUGCAGUUUACAAUUGACACCAGUGGUUCUCAAACCAGGGUGAUUUUGUUUCCAGGGGAUACUUGUCUGGGGACAGUUUUAGAUGUCACAACUUGGAUGGGGUGUGAGGCUAUUCAUGGCAUUAGGGGGCAGAAGACAGAGAUGUUAUCUAACACCCUACAAUAUACAGGACAGCCCCACUACCAUAUACAUCCCCAAAUGUCAGCAUCAGCUUUUUUUUUUUGAGAUGGAGUCUCGCUCUGUUGCCAAGCUGGAGUGCAGUGGCGUGAUCUUGGCUCACUGCAACCUCCACCUCCCGGGUUCAAGUGAUUCUCCUGCCUCAGCCUCCUGAGUAGCUGAGACUACAGGUGUGCGCCACAACGCCCGGCUAAUUUUUGUAUUUUUAGUAGAGACGAGGUUUCGCCACGUUGGCCAGGCUGGUCUCACCAGCCUGAGAGUAGCUAGUCACAGCUACUCAGGAGGCUGAGGUGGGCAGAUUGCUUGAGUCUGGGAGGCAGAGGUUGCAAUGAGCCGAGAUCACGCCACUGCACUCCAGCCUGGGUGAUAGAGUGAGACCCUGUCUCAAAAUAUAUAUAUAUAAUAAUAAUAAUAUUAAUAUUUUUCCCUUUUUUGAGACAAGGGUCUCUGUCUCAGGCUGAGUCUCAUAUUGCCCAGGUUGGUCUCAAACUCCUGGCCUCAAGUGAUCUUCCCUCCUAGCCUCCUGAGUAGCAGGGAUUACAGGCAUGAGCCACCACAUCCAGCAAGGUAAGUAUUUUAAUGCAAUACUUUUAAAAUAAAAUUUAAAAUAUUUGUAAAAAGGCCAGGCACAGCGGCUCACGCUUGUAAUCCCAACACUUUGGGAGGCUGAGGCGGGCAGAUCACCUGAGGUCAGGAGUUCAAGACCAGCCUGGCCCGGGCACAGUGGCUCAUGCCUGUAAUCCCAGCCCUUUGGGAGGCCGAGGCAGGUGGAUCACGAGAUCAGGAGAUUGAGACCAUCCUUGCUAACAUGGUGAAACCCCAUCUCUACUAAAAAUACAAAAAAUUUAGCUGGGCUUGGUGGCAGGCGCCUGCAGUCCCAGCUACUCAGGAGGCUGAGGCAGGAGAAUGGCGUGAAGCCGGGAGACGGAGCUUGCAGUGAGCCGAGAUCACACCACUGCACUCCAGCCUGGGGGACAGAGCGAGACUCAAUGUCAAAACAAAACAAAACAAAACAAAACAAGACCAGACUGGCCAACAUGGUGAAACCUGUUGUUUCACCUGUUCACCUGUCUCUACUAAAAAUACAAAAAAAAAAAAAAAUCAGCUGUGCAUGGUAGUGGGUGACCUGGGGAGUGGCCUGUAAUCCCAGCUACUUGGAAGGCUGAGGCAGGAGAAUUGCUUGAACUCAGGAGGCGGAGGUUGCAGUGAGCUGAGAUCGUGCCACUGCACUUCAGCCCGGGUGACAGAGCGAGACUCCAUCUCAAACAAACAAACAAAAUACAAAAAUUAGCCAGGUGUGGUGGUGCGUGCCCGCAGUCCCAGCUACUCUGGAGGCUGAGGCAGGAAAAUUGCUGGAACCCGGGAGGCAGAGGUUGCAGUGAGACGAGAUCACGUCACAGCACUCUGGUUUGGGUGACAGAGCGAGGCUAUGUCUCAAAAUAAAUAAAUAAAAAUAAAAUAAUAAAAUAAAGUAACAUAAUUGUGAAAAGCAAUACUUUUCAAAAGCAAUACUUUUAAAUACUUUUAAAGCUGGACACAGUGACUCACAUCGCUAAUCCCAACACUUUGGAAGGUCAAGGUGGGAGGAUUACUUGAGCUCAGGAGUUUGAG
RNAcentral lists this long non-coding RNA (2761 nucleotides) under Homo sapiens (human). RNAcentral describes it as "HSALNT0256693". The record is from RNAcentral. Lineage: Eukaryota; Metazoa; Chordata; Mammalia; Primates; Hominidae.